Molecule: ribosomal RNA, 846 nt
Filed under: Brevibacterium sp.
Lineage: Bacteria; Bacillati; Actinomycetota; Actinomycetes; Micrococcales; Brevibacteriaceae
Description: bacterial SSU rRNA
Rfam family: Bacterial small subunit ribosomal RNA
Source: RNAcentral
UGGUGGAUGAGUGGCGAACGGGUGAGUAACACGUGAGUAACCUGCCCCUGAUUUCGGGAUAAGCCUGGGAAACCGGGUCUAAUACCGGAUACGACCACCCCUCGCAUGAUGGGUGGUGGAAAGUUUUUCGAUCGGGGAUGGGCUCGCGGCCUAUCAGCUUGUUGGUGGGGUAAUGGCCUACCAAGGCGACGACGGGUAGCCGGCCUGAGAGGGCGACCGGCCACACUGGGACUGAGACACGGCCCAGACUCCUACGGGAGGCAGCAGUGGGGAAUAUUGCACAAUGGGGGAAACCCUGAUGCAGCGACGCAGCGUGCGGGAUGACGGCCUUCGGGUUGUAAACCGCUUUCAGCAGGGAAGAAGCGAAAGUGACGGUACCUGCAGAAGAAGUACCGGCUAACUACGUGCCAGCAGCCGCGGUAAUACGUAGGGUACGAGCGUUGUCCGGAAUUAUUGGGCGUAAAGAGCUCGUAGGUGGUUGGUCACGUCUGCUGUGGAAACGCAACGCUUAACGUUGCGCGUGCAGUGGGUACGGGCUGACUAGAGUGCAGUAGGGGAGUCUGGAAUUCCUGGUGUAGCGGUGAAAUGCGCAGAUAUCAGGAGGAACACCGGUGGCGAAGGCGGGACUCUGGGCUGUAACUGACACUGAGGAGCGAAAGCAUGGGGAGCGAACAGGAUUAGAUACCCUGGUAGUCCAUGCCGUAAACGUUGGGCACUAGGUGUGGGGGACAUUCCACGUUCUCCGCGCCGUAGCUAACGCAUUAAGUGCCCCGCCUGGGGGAGUACGGUCGCAAGGCUAAACUCAAAAGGAAUUGACGGGGGCCCGCCACAAGCGGCGGGAGCAUG